This 429-nucleotide ribosomal RNA is filed under the name uncultured bacterium. RNAcentral describes it as "bacterial SSU rRNA". It matches the Rfam family "Bacterial small subunit ribosomal RNA", at positions 355 to 775 of the family's 1533-position model. The record is from RNAcentral.
UGGGGAAUAUUGGGCAAUGGGCGAAAGCCUGACCCAGCCACGCCGCGUGAGUGAUGAAGGCCUUCGGGUCGUAAAGCUCUGUGGGGAGGGACGAAUAAGGUGCGUGCUAACACCACGCGCGUUUGACGGUACCUCCUUAGCAAGCACCGGCUAACCCUGUGCCAGCAGCCGCGGUAAUACAGGGGGUGCAAACGUUGCUCGGAAUCAUUGGGCGUAAAGCGCGCGUAGGCGGUCGCUUAAGUCGGAUGUGAAAGCCCUUGGCUUAACUGAGGAAGUGCAUCCGAAACUGAGCAGCUAGAGUACGAAAGAGGGUCGCGGAAUUCCCGGUGUAGAGGUGAAAUUCGUAGAUAUCGGGAGGAACACCGGUGGCGAAGGCGGCGAUCUGGGUCGACACUGACGCUGAGGCGCGAAAGCGUGGGGAGCAAACAG